RNAcentral lists this transfer RNA (84 nucleotides) under Echinostoma caproni. It matches the Rfam family "tRNA". From Rfam's summary of the family: Transfer RNA (tRNA) molecules are approximately 80 nucleotides in length. Their secondary structure includes four short double-helical elements and three loops (D, anti-codon, and T loops). Lineage: Eukaryota; Metazoa; Platyhelminthes; Trematoda; Plagiorchiida; Echinostomatidae. The record is from Rfam by way of RNAcentral.
GGCUUCGUAGCUCAGCUGGAGUAGAGCAUGCGCGUACAAAGCGUAGGCAGUGUCCAUGCGUGGGUUCGAGUCCCACCGAGGCUA